Molecule: long non-coding RNA, 1669 nt
Organism: Oreochromis aureus
Lineage: Eukaryota; Metazoa; Chordata; Actinopteri; Cichliformes; Cichlidae
Source: Ensembl
ACAGGUGUGGUGGAGGUGACUCUGGACGUACUAGUUUGAAGCGUGCUUGUUGCUGGAGUGGUGGUGCUUGUUGCUGUGGGGCUGGCAGUGGUGGUUUUGGUGGUUGUAGCAGGAGAUGGUGUAGCAGUCGUAGGUGGGGUGGUUGUAGCAGGAGAUGGUCUAGCAGUCGUAGGUGGGGUGGUUGUAGCAGGAGAUGGUGUAGCAGUCGUAGGUGGGGUGGUUGUAGCAGGAGAUGGUGUAGCAGUCGUAGGUGGGGUGGUUGUAGCAGGAGAUGGUGUAGCAGUCGUAGGUGGGGUGGUUGUAGCAGGAGAUGCUGUAGCAGUCGUAGGUGGGGUGGUUGUAGCAGGAGAUGCUGUAGCAGUCGUAGGUGGGGUGGUUGUAGCAGGAGAUGCUGUAGCAGUCGUAGGUGGGGUGGUUGUAGCAGGAGAUGCUGUAGCAGUCGUAGGUGGGGUGGUUGUAGCAGGAGAUGCUGUAGCAGUCGUAGGUGGGGUGGUUGUUGCGGACGUUGUUAUGAUGCUCGUGGUGGUUGUAGUAUCUGCAGUUGUAACUGGGAAACUAUCACCGGAAGUGGUGGGUGGUGUGGUUUUGGUGACUGUGGUAUGAGAUGGUGACAUGGAUGUAGGUGUAGUUGCUGAUGUUGUUAUGAAUAGUAUGGGUGCAGUCUCAGUGGUUGUGGUGGGGGUGGUGGUACUGGCAGUGGUAGGUGUGGUUUUGACGGCUGUGGUUAGAGACGGCUUCGUGGCUGUGGGUAUGGGUAUGGUUCCUGCAGUUGUAGCGGGAGUGGAGGCACCAGUGGACGUUUGGAUGGUAUGUGUCAAGCUGGCUGUUCUAGCUGGCGGAGGGAUGGUUGUGUGUGUAGUUGCUGGUGUUGUUAUGGGUGGUGCGACUGUAGUCUCUGCGGUUGUGACAGGGGUGGUGCUACUGGCGGCUGUAGGAGAUGUGGUUUUGAUGGCUGUGGUUGGAGCAGGUGCUGUUAUGCUGCUCCGAGAGGGUGUGGUUACAGCAGCGGUGGUGCUGAUGUUUGUUGUACUCGUUUGUGGGACUGAUGGAGCUGAGGUGCUACUUGCAGUGACUGCAUCACCUGUUGGUGCUGUUGAUAAUACUCCUUGAGUCAGACUCUCUGAGAUGUUUGGAUGAAGGGUGGAGUCUGUGUGUGUGGGUGGGGUCUGGCCGUGAGUCCUGGGUGGUCUAUGUGUGCUGGUGCUGGAUGCAGACGGUGGAGGAGUGGUGGUGGUGGGUGCAGCUGAGGCGGUGCUGUCUGAGGAUGCUGCAGAUGUUUGGUGUGUGGAUCCAUCCUCAGGUUGUAACUCAGUUAUGACGUCUGUUGCUCCACCUGUGCUCACACGUGAGGAACCCAGCGUCAUGCCUUCACCUCCGCUCGACUUGGACUGGUUUCUAGUGAUGGAGGACCAUGACUUGUACGACGACGUGACCACCUCCGUCCUGACUAGGGAGUCACCUCCACCUGACGAGGUCUCCGAGGCGAGUGACUGGUCGGUGGUAAAAGCAGCUGUGCCAUUUAAAGGGGAUAGGUGGGUGACUGCAGGGGAAACAUCUGGAGGUGACAGAUUGUCCGUGACAGCGUUCCCAGGACGCCUGAUGGUUUGGGCGGAGUUAGACAGGUCCAGCGGUGUGGAUGAAGAAAAGGUGGAGGUGGCUGGAGAUGUGU